This 40-nucleotide transfer RNA is filed under the name Armeria pungens. RNAcentral's name for it is "partial tRNA-Ser". RNAcentral also lists the same sequence under 10 other names. Lineage: Eukaryota; Viridiplantae; Streptophyta; Magnoliopsida; Caryophyllales; Plumbaginaceae. The record is from RNAcentral.
GGAGAGAUGGCUGAGUGGUUGAUAGCCCCGGUCUGAAAAC